GGCCUAACACAUGCAAGUCGAACGGAAAGGCUCCUUCGGGAGUGCUCGAGUGGCGAACGGGUGAGUAACACGUGGGUGAUCUGCCCUGCACUUUGGGAUAAGCCUGGGAAACUGGGUCUAAUACCGAAUACACCUUGCUGGCUGCAUGGCUGGUGGGGGAAAGCUUUUGCGGUGUGGGAUGGGCCCGCGGCCUAUCAGCUUGUUGGUGGGGUGAUGGCCUACCAAGGCGACGACGGGUAGCCGGCCUGAGAGGGUGUCCGGCCACACUGGGACUGAGAUACGGCCCAGACUCCUACGGGAGGCAGCAGUGGGGAAUAUUGCACAAUGGGCGCAAGCCUGAUGCAGCGACGCCGCGUGGGGGAUGACGGCCUUCGGGUUGUAAACCUCUUUCACCAUCGACGAAGCCUUUCGGAGUGACGGUAGGUGGAGAAGAAGCACCGGCCAACUACGUGCCAGCAGCCGCGGUAAUACGUAGGGUGCGAGCGUUGUCCGGAAUUACUGGGCGUAAAGAGCUCGUAGGUGGUUUGUCGCGUUGUUCGUGAAAUGCCACAGCUUAACUGUGGGCGUGCGGGCGAUACGGGCAGACUGGAGUACUGCAGGGGAGACUGGAAUUCCUGGUGUAGCGGUGGAAUGCGCAGAUAUCAGGAGGAACACCGGUGGCGAAGGCGGGUCUCUGGGCAGUAACUGACGCUGAGGAGCGAAAGCGUGGGGAGCGAACAGGAUUAGAUACCCUGGUAGUCCACGCCGUAAACGGUGGGUACUAGGUGUGGG
Molecule: ribosomal RNA, 771 nt
Filed under: uncultured Mycobacterium sp.
Lineage: Bacteria; Bacillati; Actinomycetota; Actinomycetes; Mycobacteriales; Mycobacteriaceae
Description: bacterial SSU rRNA
Rfam family: Bacterial small subunit ribosomal RNA
Source: RNAcentral